CUGGAACGCGCCCCAGGCGCACCCAGAAACCCUUUUGUGAACUUAUACCUUUUGUUGCCUCGGCGCAUGCUGGUCUCUAGUAGGCCCCUCACCCCGGUGAGGAGACGGCACGCCGGCGGCCAAGUUAACUCUUGUUUUUACACUGAAACUCUGAGAAAAAACACAAAUGAAUCAAAACUUUCAACAACGGAUCUCUUGGUUCUGGCAUCGAUGAAGAACGCAGCGAAAUGCGAUAAGUAAUGUGAAUUGCAGAAUUCAGUGAAUCAUCGAAUCUUUGAACGCACAUUGCGCCCUCUGGUAUUCCGGAGGGCAUGCCUGUUCGAGCGUCAUUUCAACCCUCAAGCAUUGCUUGGUGUUGGGGCACUGCUUUUAACGAAGCAGGCCCUGAAAUCUAGUGGCGAGCUCGCCAGGACCCCGAGCGCAGUAGUUAAACCCUCGCUCUGGAAGGCCCUGGCGGUGCCCUGCCGUUAAACCCCCAACUUUUGAAAAU
This 490-nucleotide ribosomal RNA is filed under the name Diaporthe sp. Eu007. RNAcentral's name for it is "eukaryotic LSU rRNA". The stretch from base 176 to 329 matches the Rfam family "5.8S ribosomal RNA". Lineage: Eukaryota; Fungi; Ascomycota; Sordariomycetes; Diaporthales; Diaporthaceae. The record is from RNAcentral.